CACCGCGGUUAUACGAGAGGCCCAAGUUGAUAAACAUCGGCGUAAAGCGUGGUUAGGGUGAAUUAUUAAACACUAAAGCCGAACGCCCUCCGAGCUGUUAAACGCCUGCCGAGGGUAAGAAGCCCCACCACGAAAGUGGCUUUACUCCACCUGAUUCCACGAGGGCCAAGAUA
Molecule: ribosomal RNA, 173 nt
Filed under: Aeoliscus strigatus (razorfish)
Lineage: Eukaryota; Metazoa; Chordata; Actinopteri; Syngnathiformes; Centriscidae
Description: partial small subunit ribosomal RNA
Source: RNAcentral